GUAGGUGGCAAGCGUUGUCCGGAAUUAUUGGGCGUAAAGCGCGCGCAGGCGGUUCUUUAAGUCUGAUGUGAAAGCCCACGGCUCAACCGUGGAGGGUCAUUGGAAACUGGAGAACUUGAGUACAGAAGAGGAAAGCGGAAUUCCACGUGUAGCGGUGAAAUGCGUAGAGAUGUGGAGGAACACCAGUGGCGAAGGCGGCUUUCUGGUCUGUAACUGACGCUGAGGCGCGAAAGCGUGAGGAGCAAACAGGAUUAGAUACCCUGGUAGUCCACGCCGUAAACGAUGAGUGCUAAGUGUUAGGGGGUUUCCGCCCCUUAGUGCUGCAGCUAACGCAUUAAGCACUCCGCCUGGGAGUACGGCCGCAAGGCUG
Molecule: ribosomal RNA, 370 nt
Filed under: uncultured organism
Description: partial 16S ribosomal RNA
Rfam family: Bacterial small subunit ribosomal RNA
Source: RNAcentral